Molecule: long non-coding RNA, 1556 nt
Organism: Heterocephalus glaber (naked mole-rat)
Lineage: Eukaryota; Metazoa; Chordata; Mammalia; Rodentia; Bathyergidae
Source: Ensembl
GCCUUUCAUAUAACUCUAUGUAAUGGAAAUAAAUGAAAUUGUCUCAAAAGGAACUGUUCAGAAUGUGCAUGAGAAGUAUGGAAGCGCAAACUGUUUUAGAAUUGAAGGGACAAAAUACAAAAGAACAAGAACUUCAUAAGUGCUUCAUGUAUACAUUGGUUCAGUAUUUAUUUUUGAAAGAUGAGAGUUGCAUGGAAGACACUGAAUCACCUCGCUGCAGACAAGCAGGUAAAAACAGUGAAUAAAAUUCUUGAAGGUGACUGUGGGGACAAUGGCAAGCUUCUCUCCAAGUGACAGCCCUGGUGAAGGAGGACCUUUGGCUGACCUCAUUCACUGUAGAACUGCUGCUUCAUGAGUCAGGGAAAGGAUGAUGAGGCCCCUGAGCCUUCCUAGCAUACUGUGUCUGGAGCAGAAGGUGGGCUCCUGAGGGGAUCACCUGCUUUUUAACUACACACAUGUAUGACAGCCUAAGCAACAGGUAUCUCGUGGCUGUAUGAGAAGCUCAUACCAGGAAUAAAGUAUUCUGCCUGUGAGAUGGAGGAAGAGGAGCCCUGCGGUCAAGAUUGAAGCAGUGAGGAGUCACCUAUCUUGCUGAGCUGGGAUGGAAGAGGGAAGCAGUCUUGGUUUCAGUAAUUUAAAUUCUUAACUAUUUUAUCAGAUUUUCCUCAAUAAUCUCAAAUAGGUGUUCUUUCAUUAGUGAUUUUUCAGUAGGAUCUUUCUCAGAGGCUUAAGUGGUUUCAGUUGUCACUAUAAUUCUUAGCAGUAUGAAUGGAAAAAGGAUCGGUGAACUUUUCCCAUGUCAGACAUUGCUCUCCUGUAGUUAUAUCUUUAAAUGUCACUCUUUUGCAUUACUAUAAAUAUUUAGAGAAAAAACAAUAUAAUGAUUGUGAUGUAAUUCAAACUAUUCUGGGGAAGUAUUUGGGGCUAUUGAUCACAUCUAUUGAAACUGCAAAAAAUGAAUCAACUUAAUUUAAUUAUGCUCUCUCCUUAGGAAUUGAUAUAUGUUAUGUACACAUACAUAUGUGGAUGUGAAGUUUCUGACAUUAACUUGAGAGUGGAUAUAAUAAAUUUUUAGCAAUGGCUGCCAGUGGGAAUGGAAACUGGUGCCAGGGCAGGACAGAGUGGUAAGAGUUAUAUAUAUUAGUUAUAUCACAUACCUUUUUCUCAAAAAAUAACUUUAGAUGAUUCUAAAAUGUGACCAUGUUUAGAAGCAAUUAAUAUAAUGCAGUUUAUUGUUUUAUAUAAAUGGUCCUGUUUGAAAUCAUGUAGGAAGUUGGUGACCAUGUCAGGAUUUAAAUCUGUGUCCUCUAUCAUCUCAUUUAUGAUCCAGGUCUCUUUUAUGUAAUGCUGAACUGUCAUCCUGAUGUCAGAGCACUUUCAUUUUAGACCUCAGAAUGGAAGGGAAAGCCUUAGUAAGAAGUUUAAUGUUAUAUAGUUGUAACAUUUGAAAAAAUGUACAUCACUAUUGUGUUGCAAAUAUACACUAAUAAAAGAAAAAAAUUACGUGAAUACAUAUGCCAACAAAAAAAAUUGAAGAAUCCAAAUUAGCAUGCACC